GACGAACGCUGGCGGCGUGCUUAACACAUGCAAGUCGAGCGGUAAGGCCCUUUCGGGGGUACACGAGCGGCGAACGGGUGAGUAACACGUGGGUGACCUGCCCUUAGCGUCUGGGAUAAGCCUGGGAAACUGGGUCUAAUACCGGAUAUGACUCCAUGACGCAUGUUGUGGGGUGGAAAGCCUUGUGCGGCUAGGGAUGGGCCCGCGGCCUAUCAGCUUGUUGGUGGGUGAUGGCCUACCAAGGCGACGACGGGUAGCCGGCCUGAGAGGGCGACCGGCCACACUGGGA
Molecule: ribosomal RNA, 289 nt
Filed under: uncultured bacterium
Lineage: Bacteria
Description: partial 16S ribosomal RNA
Rfam family: Bacterial small subunit ribosomal RNA
Source: RNAcentral